UGUAUUGGUCUGUACUUCGGUAAAUAGGCUAUUCACAGCAAUGCUCUAAGCGAAGGAGACUAGAUAAGCUUUACGCUGAAUUUUUCAAUUUUUGUGGUACCUCUAAAAUUAAUGUUACGAAUGGCUGGGUAAAUAAAAGAUUGAGUAUUGGGUCAACCAAAUACAAGAUUCUUUGAAGAAUACUGUAUAACUGUUAUCUUCUGUUACUAAAUAUUCUUUUGUUAAUUUUUCAUU
Non-coding RNA from Schizosaccharomyces pombe (fission yeast), 234 nucleotides. NCBI's taxonomy places the organism in Eukaryota, Fungi, Ascomycota, Schizosaccharomycetes, Schizosaccharomycetales, Schizosaccharomycetaceae. The record is from the annotation of a GenBank genome assembly.